GAUGAACGCUAGCGGCAGGCCUAAUACAUGCAAGUCGAGGGGUAACAGGAAGUGCUUGCACUUCGCUGACGACCGGCGCACGGGUGAGUACCGCGUAUACAAUCUGCCUCAUACUAGGGAAUAGCCCGAAGAAAUUUGGAUUAAUGCCCUAUAGUAUCUUUUUAAGGCAUCUUAUUAAGAUUAAAGGUUACGGUAUGAGAUGAGUAUGCGUUCUAUUAGCUAGUAGGUGUGGUAACGGCACACCUAGGCUACGAUAGAUAGGGGCCCUGAGAGGGGGAUCCCCCACACUGGUACUGAGACACGGACCAGACUCCUACGGGAGGCAGCAGUAAGGAAUAUUGGACAAUGGGCGAAAGCCUGAUCCAGCCAUGCCGCGUGCAGGAUGACGGCCCUAUGGGUUGUAAACUGCUUUUAUAUAGGAAGAAAAACUUUCUCGUGAGAAAGCAUGACGGUACUAUAAGAAUAAGGAUCGGCUAACUCCGUGCCAGCAGCCGCGGUAAUACGGAGGAUCCAAGCGUUAUCCGGAAUCAUUGGGUUUAAAGGGUCCGUAGGUGGACAAAUAAGUCAGAGGUGAAAUCCUGCAGCUCAACUGUAGAACUGCCUUUGAUACUGUUUGUCUUGAGUUAUUAUGAAGUGGUUAGAAUGUGUAGUGUAGCGGUGAAAUGCAUAGAUAUUACACAGAAUACCGAUUGCGAAGGCAGAUCACUAAUAAUUAACUGACACUGAGGGACGAAAGCGUGGGUAGCGAACAGGAUUAGAUACCCUGGUAGUCCACGCCGUA
RNAcentral lists this ribosomal RNA (781 nucleotides) under uncultured Bacteroidota bacterium. Its description in RNAcentral is "bacterial SSU rRNA". It matches the Rfam family "Bacterial small subunit ribosomal RNA", at positions 28 to 804 of the family's 1533-position model. Lineage: Bacteria; Pseudomonadati; Bacteroidota. The record is from RNAcentral.